Molecule: long non-coding RNA, 1896 nt
Organism: Syngnathoides biaculeatus (alligator pipefish)
Lineage: Eukaryota; Metazoa; Chordata; Actinopteri; Syngnathiformes; Syngnathidae
Exons: 3
Source: RefSeq, a predicted model, not a curated record
CUGCUUUGACAACCUGAAAGGACACUACAGCACCACUACUGAGCAUCCCUGUGUCAGCCCCUCCAACCCCCAGCUCUUCCCUUCCUUUUAGCCCCCAAGGGCCUGAGACCUGGGGAACUUUUAAUUACCCACAGCCGCAGCUCUCCUCAUCGUCCACCACCGAAUGGUCAACAGGCUUUACUACUUACCAAGCCAUCAAUGUCUGAAUGAUAAUAGGAAGCAGUGUGGGCGUGCAAGAAGAGGUGUUCAAGGGGGGCAUGCAGAGAAGGAUAGGGGUAUCAUUGGGCAAGCCUGCUGGUUAAUUAGCCCUGUGUCAGUAGGAGCACCCCCCGCCCACCUACCCCCUUCUGAUGCCAAGAAAGGCCAUCAGGCAUUAUCUAUGGCCGCCUAUUUUUUAUGGUCUUUUGCAGACUACAGAGAUGAGGUUGUUUAGCAGCAUAGACGGCAUAUGGUGCCACCAUUGGAAACACGCUGUGACUCAGUAGUACAUUUAGAGAGAGGGGGAAAAAAGAAACAUGUUAAUGUCCACGCAAGAAGUGGAGCCCAGAGAUGUUUCGCUCCAGCUGCUUGUUAGCCAAGUGCAAUGAUUUGGUAAUACGGUCUAAGGGGGAUGAAAUUCAUGAUCUUUUGUCUUAUUCAUGCACAUGACAUGUGAAGAAGAAACUUCCAUGGGACUCUGAUGCAAAAAUGAUAAGUAUUUUGAUUCAUCAUUUCUCACAGGAAUAUUCAAAUUAAUUUAUUCUAAAGGAAAAAAAAAGGACAACUCCAAGUAACCAUAUGACACAAUCAUUUAUUCAGUCUCAACUGCUGGAACAUGCCUCUGUGGGCUCAUUCUCAUAAAGGUACUGGAACAAACAGUUUUAAAUGUUUUAACUGUUGUCCAUUCUCCAAGCUGCUUGUCCUCACAAGGGUUGGAGGAGUGCCGGAGCCUAUCCCAGCUAACAUCGGGUGAAAGGCAGGGUGCACCCUGAACUGGUUGCCAGUCAGUCUCAGGGAAGAUAUCAACACCAUCACUGAGUGGGAAUUUACCAAAGUCUAACUCCACACAGGCGGGGCCGGAAUUGAACCCUGGACCUCAGAACUGUGAUGCCAACAGCUACUGCUGAUCCACCAUGCCGCCUUGUUAAAAAACUGUACUUUUUUUUUGUUGUUGUUGUUGCCUGUUUUAAGUUUUUUUACUUGAAAUAACGAAAGACUUUUAGUUGGAUUAACAGAAAACCUUAACUGCAUGCAAAUCCAAAGAUGUCUGGCACUGUCUCGCUGAGUUUUCCCAUGACCCAAGAGUUCUGUGGUGCUGAGUCAUCCACAACCAACAAGAUGUCUCCCGCAGAGAAAUUGUGUGGGACGGACGGAACCACAUGUGGUGCUCCUGUAUAUAACUCUAGCGGGUAUUCUCUUGUCUAUCUAAUCCAAAACAUGUCUACUAAACACUGGAGCUGAUUGAUUUCCUGCAUGCGUAAAGAUCCCGAUUGUCAAACUGGCCAGGAAGCAGGUAUGACUUGAACAAAUGUUGAUUUAGCUAACUACUUCUACAUCAUUCAUAUUGACGAAUGCCAUAGUUAUAAACCGACUAGUGAUGAUUUUACUCUGCCUCACACAAUAGGUAUGUAGGCCCCUUUCAAGUUAAAUUAAGUGUCUAUUGCUUCAGGGUGACACUAAGGCUAUGUUCACACUGCAGAACAAGUCUUCUUUCAUAUGUGGAUGUAACUUGGAUAUAAAUGCAAAUCCAGAAAGCUCAUGACGCAUUCAUCCGACCCAUACAUCGUCAAAUGGGGACAAACGUCACAAUUGUUGGACAAAACAGAUUCAUCCUCGUCUCAUUUUUUUGCCAUCGACCACCGCUCCACCCCACCCCACCACCACCACCCCACAUCGUGCUGUGGCUGAACAAGCUCG